RNAcentral lists this ribosomal RNA (1548 nucleotides) under Salmonella enterica. RNAcentral's name for it is "partial 23S ribosomal RNA". It matches the Rfam family "Bacterial large subunit ribosomal RNA", at positions 1273 to 2804 of the family's 2925-position model. RNAcentral also lists the same sequence under 1 other name. Lineage: Bacteria; Pseudomonadati; Pseudomonadota; Gammaproteobacteria; Enterobacterales; Enterobacteriaceae. The record is from RNAcentral.
CUGGAGGUAUCAGAAGUGCGAAUGCUGACAUAAGUAACGAUAAAGCGGGUGAAAAGCCCGCUCGCCGGAAGACCAAGGGUUCCUGUCCAACGUUAAUCGGGGCAGGGUGAGUCGACCCCUAAGGCGAGGCCGAAAGGCGUAGUCGAUGGGAAACGGGUUAAUAUUCCCGUACUUGGUGUUACUGCGAAGGGGGGACGGAGAAGGCUAUGUUGGCCGGGCGACGGUUGUCCCGGUUUAAGCGUGUAGGUGUGUGUUCCAGGUAAAUCCGGUUCACUUUAACACUGAGGCGUGAUGACGAGGCACUACGGUGCUGAAGCAACAAAUGCCCUGCUUCCAGGAAAAGCCUCUAAGCAUCAGGUAACAUCAAAUCGUACCCCAAACCGACACAGGUGGUCAGGUAGAGAAUACCAAGGCGCUUGAGAGAACUCGGGUGAAGGAACUAGGCAAAAUGGUGCCGUAACUUCGGGAGAAGGCACGCUGACAUGUAGGUGAAGUGAUUUACUCAUGGAGCUGAAGUCAGUCGAAGAUACCAGCUGGCUGCAACUGUUUAUUAAAAACACAGCACUGUGCAAACACGAAAGUGGACGUAUACGGUGUGACGCCUGCCCGGUGCCGGAAGGUUAAUUGAUGGGGUCAGCGCAAGCGAAGCUCCUGAUCGAAGCCCCGGUAAACGGCGGCCGUAACUAUAACGGUCCUAAGGUAGCGAAAUUCCUUGUCGGGUAAGUUCCGACCUGCACGAAUGGCGUAAUGAUGGCCAGGCUGUCUCCACCCGAGACUCAGUGAAAUUGAACUCGCUGUGAAGAUGCAGUGUACCCGCGGCAAGACGGAAAGACCCCGUGAACCUUUACUAUAGCUUGACACUGAACAUUGAGCCUUGAUGUGUAGGAUAGGUGGGAGGCUUUGAAGUGUGGACGCCAGUCUGCAUGGAGCCGACCUUGAAAUACCACCCUUUAAUGUUUGAUGUUCUAACGUGGACCCGUAAUCCGGGUUGCGGACAGUGUCUGGUGGGUAGUUUGACUGGGGCGGUCUCCUCCUAAAGAGUAACGGAGGAGCACGAAGGUUGGCUAAUCCUGGUCGGACAUCAGGAGGUUAGUGCAAUGGCAUAAGCCAGCUUGACUGCGAGCGUGACGGCGCGAGCAGGUGCGAAAGCAGGUCAUAGUGAUCCGGUGGUUCUGAAUGGAAGGGCCAUCGCUCAACGGAUAAAAGGUACUCCGGGGAUAACAGGCUGAUACCGCCCAAGAGUUCAUAUCGACGGCGGUGUUUGGCACCUCGAUGUCGGCUCAUCACAUCCUGGGGCUGAAGUAGGUCCCAAGGGUAUGGCUGUUCGCCAUUUAAAGUGGUACGCGAGCUGGGUUUAGAACGUCGUGAGACAGUUCGGUCCCUAUCUGCCGUGGGCGCUGGAGAACUGAGGGGGGCUGCUCCUAGUACGAGAGGACCGGAGUGGACGCAUCACUGGUGUUCGGGUUGUCAUGCCAAUGGCACUGCCCGGUAGCUAAAUGCGGAAGAGAUAAGUGCUGAAAGCAUCUAAGCACGAAACUUGCCCCGAGA